GCCAGUGUAGUUUAAGCUUUUAGUUAGUGACGGUGUCUCUCACGCGGAGGACCCUAUUACAUCCAGGAAAAUCAACACUUUUUUCAACGUAACAUCUUUAAACUUGCCGAUCAUGCAAAAUCGUCCAUACGAAAUUGAGACGAUGACGAGCCUAUCUGCGAGAGACACCGUCAAAUCGAUCAAUUCGACUAACUCAACGACGAACGGGGAAUUUUCCGCGAUGAUAAUUCCCAACGAUCCACGUCUUCAGUGUAAUAGAAAACGAAGACGAUUGGAUAUUUCGGCAACUGCCACGGUAAUUCCCCAAAAGACGCUACGACGCAACGAACAGGAUGAUGACAAUGGCUACGAUAAUACUAACAAUAUUCUUCCCGUCAAUUAUUAUGAAAAUUUACGAACGGUUAAGCGUGAGAACAAGAAGUUUAAUAAAAGAUUGCCAGACAAGGUAGACGAAAGAGAAUGCCAAGAGAAAAGACAGAUUGAAAACGAUACUACUUGUGUUAAUGUUAACAUAAAGAGAAAGAAACAGGAACAGGAUACAUCAAUAAGAAGACUCGUCAAUUCGAAUAAUAACGUUAAAGACGAGUAUUCUAGAUUGAGAAAAACAAUCCAAUGGCUCGAAGAAGGUGCUCGUAGAUUACGAGAGGAUCUUGCUAAUGCAAGAACAGAAUUGCACGAGGAAAGAAGGGCAGCAAAGUUAGUCAAAAGAGAAAUCGAAACGGCCAUUAGGGAAGCAAAGGCCACAGAAGCUACCAAGUAUCAACUUAUCAUCUCGGAAUUAAAGACCAGACUGUCUCGUGGCAGCUCGGCAGAAUCGAAUUGCACGUCGCCGUUGCCGUCGUCGUCGUCGUCGUUGCCGUCGUCGUCGUCGUCGUCGAAGGUGGACCUCGUAAAAGAAGAUAAUCGAAAACGUGAGAUAUCGGCAAUGAAGAAGAGGCUCGUCGAAUCUGAAAAUACGAUUAGAAAGCUCAAGUUGGAUAGUUUGAAUUUGCAACAGGGAAAAGUUGCUGCCCACCCCUGCAAACUCGAUGGAUCGACUUGUGCCGAGGUCCGACGCCUUCAAAAUGAAAUUCACGCGUUACGCGCGAAUAACGAUAAACUCGAGACGAAAUUACGCAUCGCAACAGAUGCUGAAAAAGCUCGAGCGGCCGAAUUACGGAUUCAACAUGAGAAUCAUGAGGCCGAACUCGCUGCAUUACGAAAAUCUUUGAGAAGCGAAACGAUUAAAAUGAUGGACGAAAUGCGAGGAAAGAGUCGCGAGAUCGAGAAGCUUUCGAAGUUACUUCAAACUGAGAACUCCCGGAAACAAAGAAAGAUGCACCAAAAAGACGAAUCAUCAUCGAUGCGGAAGUUACAGGACAGCGAGAAAAACGGACCGAUUCGGUCGACAUCUCGCGGAGAGAAGAAAUUCCUUGUGGAGGAUCAUCAUACCUUGGGUACGUACAUUCGCGAAGUUGGUUGCGACAGAGCCAUAGAAGAAAUCGAGGUCGAGCGCCUCCGUGAGCUUGCACUCGAACAACAAGAAGUCAUCGAGAUACUUAGACAGACGGUCAAGGAAAAAGAACGAAAGCUCGAGCAGCUGUCGAACAAGAAAAGGAAAGAGGAAUUCUAUAGGCAAUGGUUGGAGCUCGAGCCAGUGGCCGAGGUCGACGAUGAAGAGGAUCACGAGGAAGGUGACAGUGCCCUUUCUAGUGCACCAUCAUCCCUUUCUCCUCAGCCAGGUGGUUGUGGACAAUGGCAGGGGUCAGGUGUCACCCGAGAAGCCUACGAAGCUGUUCUCAUAGAAAUCGAGGAACUCCAAUCAAAAUUAUUAGAUGAACGUCAAGAAUUGUCUCGUGCUAAGACCGAAGUUCUCGAUCUUGAAAAAGCUCUUUUGCAAGAGACAAGAUGUAGCAAUCGUAAUAAACAAUUGGAAGAACUGAACGAGAAGUUGCGAGCAACAGAAGAACGUGAAGCUAAUCUCCUUGUGGAAUUGUCCGAGUUGAGAGAACAAAACGAACUUUUAGAAUUCAGACUUCUCGAACUGGAAGAAUCAACCACUCGUAAAGAGAAUCCUGAUCACGCGGCUGAUAGCGGCAUUGUCUCGCCGGAACUAUUACAUCCGAGCAAGGAUCAAGUAAUAAGCAAGCAAAGAAAUCGUGCAGUGGCUACAGUGAUUCCAUAUACAAACAAUAAUAAUUACACUACUACUACAACGACGACACGUACGAUUUCUCCUGUACCACGAAAAGCACCAUUGUCUCUUCAAGAAAGUGGUAUAUUCGAAGAGGAGGAUGAAGAGGGCUUAGAAGUCGAACUAGCGAGUAAAGGAACCCAAACGGAGAUACCUUCCGGUGAACUUCUUCAAGAGGUUCAACGUCUUCAAGAACUUCGUGCACGGAUUCAAGAACGUGCAGCUAAAGUAACAAACACAGCUACGACAAUAUGUUCGAUCGAUACAUCUAAAGCCUGUCCGGCACUUGACACGGACGUUGAUUCGAUCGUUCAAUUGUCCUCCUAUCAAGAUCGUAUAAGAGAUUUGGAAGAUAGAUUAGAGGCUUACGAAGAGGCUGAAGAAAGGCAAACGGAGGAGAGACGAGUGACGAAGCAAAGGGAAGAAGAAUUGCUUGAUGAAAAUUACAGGUUAACCGAGAGGGUUUAUUGGCUUGAGAAUAAAUUACAUAACGUUGAGGAACUCAUUGAGAAUAGAAGCAGAAGUAGAAGUAACGAUAGAAGGAUUAUUCGUGAUGACAAUGAAUACGACAAAAUGGAAAAUGAUAAACAAUGCGACUGUCAAGUUUUUCAAAAUUACCAAGAAGUUCAACGAAAGACAAAAGGUGAAAACGUAACGUUCGAAAUAAUGGAGGACAUAUUGAAUCGUUCGAAAGAAGUUCAAACGACUGUUAUCGAAUCAAUUGAAGAUUGUUGUUCAUGUUGCCGAAUGUGUGAGAUUAACAAAAGAACGGAACAACCUCAGGAAUGGAUCGCACCGGAAACACGUCGUGUUAUGGUGGAAGUUGUUCAAAAUUGUACGGAGGAAAUGGUCGAGGAAGUAGCGCGGGAGGCCAAAGAAGAUGAAAAUGACGUUGACGAGGUUGACGAGGUUGAUGCAUCUGAGAAAAAUGAGAACGAUGAGCACGUAGAAAGAAGAAAAAGAAGAAGAAGAAGAAGAAGCAUCACGGAAGUUGCCGCGGGGAAUUUGGAGGAGAACAACGACGAGCCGAUAAAUUCGGUCGUUCAUUUAAACGACGAAUUGGAAUCCAAAAAGAAGGUGAUCUACUUUCGCUGGAGGUGAAAAUCCUUUCGUUUCUUGUCGGUGUAGAAGAGACUAUUCGUAUGCGCGUUUAUACUCAACAACAUUACAAGUACCACGAUAUGAUCGAUAAACUUCACCGUUGAUCUCUCAAUGCAUUAGCAAGGACAAAAUAGCUGGCGUUGCUUGACACCGGCUAAGCAUCGACCAGAAUUUGUUUCUGAGGGAAAAGAACAAUGGAGUCAUCUCGUCAUCUCGUUGUGUACCAUCGAAAUAAACCAACUGCCAACAAGAAGAAAAUCAAAGGACCCUUCUGUCAGUGCCAAAAUGAAUAUAAUCUGAUUAUUAUAAACAAAAUCAAAUAUUAGGUUGAAUGAACUUUGAUCUGCAUUUGAUCGAAAGAUAAAUAUUUUUUGAUAUACAACAAGCAGAGGUCGCCAAAGUGAUGGUCCACGGAUCACUAGUGAUUAAGUCAUGUUAUGUUUUAACACUAGAUUUACAGGCAUUGCCUGUAUACCUUUUUUUUUACUGAAAUCCAUCUUUUUGAAGGGUAUGUUAACACUAAUCUAAAUUUGUUCGUGUCGCGCCGGUGGAACUGACUUACAUAAUUUCGCUUAUCGCCGGUGGUUUAAUUUCAUUUUAAUUAAUUAAUUAUUAUUUAAUUAAUAAACGCCGAAGUGCGGCCAUUAAAGUGUUAACUUUCGUUCUACAGUUUUGAAUAUCACAAUAAAACCAUCGGCUCUUGCGCGAUAAUUUUUGCAUGGCACCAACGUAGAGCUACCGACACUUACGCGAUAAUUUUUGCAUGGCACCAACGUUAAGCCAGUGGCACUUACCCAAUAGUUUUUCACAUGGCACAAACGUGGAGCCACCAGCACUUACGCGAUAAUUUCCAAAUGGCACCAAUGUGGAGCCACCGGCAUUUACCCAAUAAUUUUUGCAUGGCACCAGUGUGGAGUCACCGGCACUUACUCGAUAGUUUCCGCAUGGCACCAACGUGGAGCUACCGGUACUUACGCGAUAGUUUCCGCAUGGCACCAACGUGGAGCCACCGGCACUUACCCAAUAGUUUUCACAUGGCACCAACGUGGAACCACCAGCACUUACGCGAUAAUUUCCGAAUGGCAACAACGUGGAGCCACCGGCACACCCGAUAAUUUUUGCAUGGCAACAACGUGGAGCCACCGACACUUACGCGAUAGUUUUCGCAUGACACCAAGGUGGAGCCACUGUUACUUACCCAAUAGUUUUUCACAUGGCACAAACGUGGAGCCAUCGGACGUCAUAGUGUUAAUAGUUUCAUUUUAUUAACUAAAUACAUUUUAUCUGUUCUUAGAUCACAAUUUUGUUUAUAAAUAUAUUUAAUUAACACUUAAAAAAUCCUAUUAGUGGUCAGCAAGAUUUAAAUGAUGAAUUUACUGGUCCGUGUGAUCAAAAAGUUUGGCGACCACUGCAAUAAAUAUCACUUAAAAAGAAAGAAAGAAGUAAAAUCGAUCCUUGCCAUUCUUAAUCCUCGCCUUUUAACAUAAACAAUUUCCGCGAAUUAUAUUUACCGAAAUAGUAAUCCUCAAUGUAAAACGAUUUUAUAAAAUACGAAUCGAAACGAAUUUGAAAAUCUUAACGAUAAUCUUCGUAUACAUUUA
RNAcentral lists this unclassified non-coding RNA (4875 nucleotides) under Polistes dominula (European paper wasp). Its description in RNAcentral is "janus kinase and microtubule-interacting protein 3, transcript variant X2". The record is from RNAcentral. Lineage: Eukaryota; Metazoa; Arthropoda; Insecta; Hymenoptera; Vespidae.